CAGAGAAUAGUUUAUAUAAAAUAUUAAUUUUGGAAGUUAAUGAAAAAUUAAUUUGAUUUUUCUCUGA
Molecule: transfer RNA, 67 nt
Filed under: Abscondita cerata
Lineage: Eukaryota; Metazoa; Arthropoda; Insecta; Coleoptera; Lampyridae
Description: tRNA-Pro
Source: RNAcentral